GCCGACGUCCCAUCCUGUGCCUUUCCAUGGUGGGAGACCACCGCGGGAUGGACCUGUGCCCCUGACCAAGCCUGAAUUAUAAGAUAAUUCUUUUGCUUCUAAAGGCUUCUUUCUAAGGCAGAAGAGUAGACACAGGUUCUGAAGAUUCUGAUCCCAGAGUUCUGGCUUUCCCCUCCCUUUGUGGCCCCCAGUUCCACCAGCAAAGCAUGGGGUGCUUUCCGGCCACCCUGCAAGCUGGGCUCCCAGGUAAGUCAUCCACGACCUCUCGUCCAGGUUUGCUGGCUCAUGGAUUUUUCUCUACGCUGAUUUUAUCACUUCAUAUAAAAUUGGACCUUGGUUGUUUUUAGCCAAUGCAGUAGUAAUAUUUUUUUUAAAGUAGACUCAUGAGAGUGUUCCCCAGCUGGGGCAUGAGUAAUCCAUCCCUAAGCUGCUCCAAGUAACAAUCCUGUUAGUGGACCAGAAAGCUGCUUUCUCUCAGACCAUUGAUUUCAAAGCUGGAAAACAGCAGGCACUGUGUUGGGAGUAAGCAAUGUGGAGUCAUCUCUUCCCCCAGAGAAACGCUGACAAGUAUUAGCUCACAGACAUGUGUGCACAAAGAUGGAUGCUCACAGUUGUCCGUUGGAGCACUGUUUGAAGCAGCAAAAGGAACCAAUUCAACUUUCCCUGAGUAGGAAAAUGGCUAAAUAAAUGGUAACUUAUUCACAGAAGGGAAUAUAAUACAGCUGUUAAAAUCAUGAAAAAAGCAGGACCUUCAAGAGGUGAUUGGGUCAUGAGAGUUCUGCACUCGUGAAUGGAUUAAUGUCAACAUCAUCAAGAAGCCCCUUGCCAGAAGCAAGCCUCAUGACUUAGGACUUUCCAGCCUCCAGAAUUGUAAGAAAUAGAUUUCUGUACUUCAUAUAAAAAAGUAUGAUGUGAUUGAUGCUU
RNAcentral lists this long non-coding RNA (924 nucleotides) under Homo sapiens (human). Its description in RNAcentral is "HSALNT0099610". Lineage: Eukaryota; Metazoa; Chordata; Mammalia; Primates; Hominidae. The record is from RNAcentral.